Non-coding RNA from Nylanderia fulva, 400 nucleotides. The record is from RefSeq and is a predicted model, not a curated record. NCBI's taxonomy places the organism in Eukaryota, Metazoa, Arthropoda, Insecta, Hymenoptera, Formicidae.
GAUAUCUGUGCCUCACAGUUCUUUUAUCGUCGUCGCUCGUUAUCGUAGAUUGUUUGUUUAUCUCAAUUUACUUAUAUCUACAGGCAGUGAAGUUAAUCGAUGAAACUAUUAAAAAAAGUAAUCAUUGCACCUUGAUUAAAAAGAACAACAUCUUGCUGUCAGUUUACUUGUUUGUCGUUCCGACAAAAGAAACAAUUCGUUAUCAAUUUUAAUAUCCCAAAGCAGCUGUGAGAGUUGAGUGAUAGGAAAGUGAUCUCCAUUUAAUGUCUAACAACAUUUCAAUAUGACGAUUCAAUCAAGAUAUCUCCCUUGACUAAUAAAUCAGGAGGCCUAUACACAGUGAUUACAUGGCACUGUCGCUCGAUCUCAGUGCAAGUUCACAUUGAACAUACAUACUGUU